AACCGCCACCGUCUCAGCCUGAAGGCGCCCGAUCUCGUCUGAUCUCGGAAGCUAAGCAGGGUCGGGCCUGGUUAGUAUCUUGGAUGGGAGACCACCUGGGAAUCCCGGGUGCUCGAGGCUU
Bison bison bison is the source of this 121-nucleotide ribosomal RNA. NCBI's taxonomy places the organism in Eukaryota, Metazoa, Chordata, Mammalia, Artiodactyla, Bovidae. The record is from Ensembl.